Molecule: ribosomal RNA, 277 nt
Filed under: uncultured bacterium
Lineage: Bacteria
Description: partial 16S ribosomal RNA
Rfam family: Bacterial small subunit ribosomal RNA
Source: RNAcentral
UACAAUGGCGUAAACAAAGGGAAGCGAAGCCGCGAGGCGGAGCGAACCCCAAAAAUAACGUCCCAGUUCGGACUGUAGUCUGCAACCCGACUACACGAAGCUGGAAUCGCUAGUAAUCGCGGAUCAGCAUGCCGCGGUGAAUACGUUCCCGGGUCUUGUACACACCGCCCGUCACACCAUGGGAGCCGGAAAUGCCCGAAGCCUGUGACCCAACCCAAUAGGGAGGGAGCAGUCGAAGGUGGAGCCGGUAACUGGGGUGAAGUCGUAACAAGGUACC